UGAUACCCUAUUAUAAUUAAAUGUUAAAGUUAAAUUAAAUUAGUAUUAGUUAUGAUCUUGAAAAUUAAAAAAUUNGGCGGUGCUUUAGUCUUUUCAGAGGAACCUGUCCUGUAAUCGAUAGUCCACGAUUAAUUCUACUUGUUCUAUUAAUUUGUAUAUCGUCGUAGUUGAGUAUUUCAGUAAGNAAUGCCAAUAUUCAUGAUUAAUCAUUAUUAAUAAAAUCAGAUCNAAGGUGCAGUUUAUGAACNAAGGUUGAGAUGGGUUACAAUAAAUUUAUUUAUAUGGAUUUUCUUAUGAAAAUGAGUUUUGAAGGUGGAUUUGUAAGUAAU
Molecule: ribosomal RNA, 329 nt
Filed under: Helochares obscurus
Lineage: Eukaryota; Metazoa; Arthropoda; Insecta; Coleoptera; Hydrophilidae
Description: partial 12S ribosomal RNA
Source: RNAcentral